RNAcentral lists this small RNA (171 nucleotides) under Kocuria palustris. Its description in RNAcentral is "c-di-AMP sequence". It matches the Rfam family "c-di-AMP riboswitch aptamer (ydaO/yuaA leader)". Rfam says of the family: This family represents a conserved RNA structure found upstream of the ydaO and yuaA genes in Bacillus subtilis and related genes in other bacteria. The record is from RNAcentral. Lineage: Bacteria; Bacillati; Actinomycetota; Actinomycetes; Micrococcales; Micrococcaceae. RNAcentral also lists the same sequence under 1 other name.
UCGGCGAAGAUCCCUAAACGGAGCUGGCAGGAACGGGGGACCCACUUCCCGGCUCGCGAGAACACGCGGGCCUUGGGGUGAAGCCGAGGCUGUCCACCCAUUCCGAGCCUCGGCCGGAUCCAUCGGAUCCGCACCCGACAGCUCACCCCGUAGGCACACUGGAGGAAAUAG